Macrosteles quadrilineatus (aster leafhopper) is the source of this 397-nucleotide long non-coding RNA. RefSeq lists it as uncharacterized. The record is from RefSeq and is a predicted model, not a curated record. The transcript has 3 exons. Lineage: Eukaryota; Metazoa; Arthropoda; Insecta; Hemiptera; Cicadellidae.
CUUGUACAGUAGACACAAAAUAUGCUAAGUUAAUUAUUAUUUCUGUAAAUCAUUUGAAGAAUCGAGUUUUAUCAGAAACAAUACGUUGGAUUGCUGAGCAGCAUGGGUGAAAGAUUUCUACAACAGUACAUCUACAGUAGAUGUAACUAGUAACUAGGAGGAUGGUGGUUGAACUAAUUGCUACAACAUUUUUCCAUUCAGAAAAAAAUAUUGGGACCGAGCAAGGCUAAACCAAACAAAUGCAAAUGCAAAUGUUGACAUGAGCAUGGCUGGACGACUGCUGCUCCUUGCAGUGUCUAUUACUGUGUGUUCUGCUGAGCUCUACACAGCUCUGGUAGACUUGGAGGAGUUGCUGGAGUCGGAAUCUGCGCUGCUGCACACCCUCAAGGACUACAUC